Molecule: non-coding RNA, 495 nt
Organism: Oryctolagus cuniculus (rabbit)
Lineage: Eukaryota; Metazoa; Chordata; Mammalia; Lagomorpha; Leporidae
Source: RefSeq, a predicted model, not a curated record
AGUCCAUGAGGGAUUAAAGACCCAUUGUAGAGGAACAUCGGAAAAUUCUUUCCUGAAAAUUCAUUUCUACUGGGGAGAAUGAUGGGAGAAGGUCAGAGAGCUUUCUGCUUCUGGCAGUUCCUCAAUUGUCAGUUCAAAGUGAGACUAAUGUACACUGGAUGGUGGCACACAAAUCUUUAAGACUCUUGAGGGGACAGAGUUGACCAGAGAGAUGACUGUGAUGAUUAGCAGGAAGAUGAUUCCAGGAGAUUACAGUGCAAUCCUUCACAAGAACGCAACGGAGCUCAACUGAUCAAAUUGAAAAAAAUCAAAUCUCCGGCUAUGCUGGAAGACCAAUCACCAAAUCCAGGUUAUUUUGCAGAGAGAAAGCUAUUACAAGGAGAUCAGGAGCAGAAGCAGAGGAGUCACAUAAAUUCAACUUGUCAUGGAAUAGCUCCUUCUCUAACAACAAGCCUUGAGAUAAGAAAGCAAUAGUCAUUGUACAAAUAAGUUAAU